RNAcentral lists this ribosomal RNA (619 nucleotides) under Salmonella enterica. Its description in RNAcentral is "bacterial SSU rRNA". It matches the Rfam family "Bacterial small subunit ribosomal RNA", at positions 1 to 614 of the family's 1533-position model. The record is from RNAcentral. Lineage: Bacteria; Pseudomonadati; Pseudomonadota; Gammaproteobacteria; Enterobacterales; Enterobacteriaceae.
GAAGAGUUUGAUCAUGGCUCAGAUUGAACGCUGGCGGCAGGCCUAACACAUGCAAGUCGAACGGUAACAGGAAGCAGCUUGCUGCUUUGCUGACGAGUGGCGGACGGGUGAGUAAUGUCUGGGAAACUGCCUGAUGGAGGGGGAUAACUACUGGAAACGGUGGCUAAUACCGCAUAACGUCGCAAGACCAAAGAGGGGGACCUUCGGGCCUCUUGCCAUCAGAUGUGCCCAGAUGGGAUUAGCUUGUUGGUGAGGUAACGGCUCACCAAGGCGACGAUCCCUAGCUGGUCUGAGAGGAUGACCAGCCACACUGGAACUGAGACACGGUCCAGACUCCUACGGGAGGCAGCAGUGGGGAAUAUUGCACAAUGGGCGCAAGCCUGAUGCAGCCAUGCCGCGUGUAUGAAGAAGGCCUUCGGGUUGUAAAGUACUUUCAGCGGGGAGGAAGGUGUUGUGGUUAAUAACCGCAGCAAUUGACGUUACCCGCAGAAGAAGCACCGGCUAACUCCGUGCCAGCAGCCGCGGUAAUACGGAGGGUGCAAGCGUUAAUCGGAAUUACUGGGCGUAAAGCGCACGCAGGCGGUCUGUCAAGUCGGAUGUGAAAUCCCCGGGCUCAACC